This is a long non-coding RNA of Hibiscus syriacus, 416 nucleotides long. RefSeq lists it as uncharacterized. The transcript is spliced from 3 exons. The record is from RefSeq and is a predicted model, not a curated record. NCBI's taxonomy places the organism in Eukaryota, Viridiplantae, Streptophyta, Magnoliopsida, Malvales, Malvaceae.
UCUCUUUUGAGAGUUUAUAGAGACUGAUCUAAGCCAGGAGAAAACCCGCAUUCUAGGAACUGACUAAUCUGUUUUCGUUGUAACAAGUAUAACCAGUUGAUGAAUUUGACAAUUAUUGUUACAUUUUGUAGGUUCAUUGCCAUCUUGUCCUGACCCAGCUAUUGUUCUUGAAGUUCUAAAAUUCUCAUUGUCUCCCGAGGUUCGUUCCCAAGAUGCUAUAUUUGGAUUGGGUGUUAGCAAGGAAGGUCGUGAAGUUGCCUGGACAUGGCUCAAGGAUCGUAAAAAACUUUGGUGGAUUCCUGAUACCACGUUUUGUCAGUGCAGUUGUCUCGCCGUUUGCUUCAUUUGAGAAAGUGAAGGAAGUGGAGUUCUUUGCAAGCCGAGACAAGGCUUCGAUAGCGAGAACGUUGAAGCAG